GCUCUCAUAGUUCAAUGGAUAGAACAGUUCCGUCCUAAGGAAUAGAUGUAGGUUCGAUUCCUGCUGAGAGCA
This 72-nucleotide transfer RNA is filed under the name Parcubacteria bacterium C7867-005. Its description in RNAcentral is "tRNA-Arg". It matches the Rfam family "tRNA". Rfam says of the family: Transfer RNA (tRNA) molecules are approximately 80 nucleotides in length. Lineage: Bacteria; Candidatus Parcubacteria. The record is from RNAcentral. RNAcentral also lists the same sequence under 1 other name.